Molecule: ribosomal RNA, 447 nt
Filed under: uncultured bacterium
Lineage: Bacteria
Description: partial 16S ribosomal RNA
Rfam family: Bacterial small subunit ribosomal RNA
Source: RNAcentral
AGCGAACGCUGGCGGCAGGCCUAACACAUGCAAGUCGAGCGCCCCGUAAGGGGAGCGGCAGACGGGAGAGUAACACGUGGGAACGUGCCCUUCAGUUCGGAACAACCCAGGGAAACUUGGGCUAAUACCGGAUACGUCCGUAAGGAGAAAGAUUUAUCGCUGAAGGAGCGGCCCGCGUCUGAUUAGCUAGUUGGUGGGGUAACGGCCCACCAAGGCGACGAUCAGUAGCUGGUCUGAGAGGAUGAUCAGCCUCACUGGGACUGAGACACGGCCCAGACUCCUACGGGAGGCAGCAGUGGGGAAUAUUGGACAAUGGGCGCAAGCCUGAUCCAGCCAUGCCGCGUGGGUGAUGAAGGCCCUAGGGUCGUAAAGCCCUUUCGGCGGGGAAGAUAAUGACGGUACCCGCAGAAGAAGCCCCGGCUAACUUCGUGCCAGCCGCCGCCGUAA